Molecule: ribosomal RNA, 490 nt
Filed under: uncultured bacterium
Lineage: Bacteria
Description: bacterial SSU rRNA
Rfam family: Bacterial small subunit ribosomal RNA
Source: RNAcentral
AUUGAACGCUGGCGGUAUGCUUAACACAUGCAAGUCGAACGGCAGCACGAGAAAGCUUGCUUUCUUGGUGGCGAGUGGCGGACGGGUGAGUAAUGCAUAGGAAUCUACCUCGAAGCGGGGGAUAACCCGGGGAAACUCGGGCUAAUACCGCAUAAUCUCUACGGAGGAAAGCAGGGGAUCUUCGGACCUUGCACUUUGAGAUGAGCCUAUGUCAGAUUAGCUAGUUGGUAGGGUAAAGGCCUACCAAGGCAAUGAUCUGUAGCUGGUCUGAGAGGACGAUCAGCCACACUGGGACUGAGACACGGCCCAGACUCCUACGGGAGGCAGCAGUGGGGAAUAUUGGACAAUGGGCGCAAGCCUGAUCCAGCAAUACCGCGUGUGUGAAGAAGGCCUUCGGGUUGUAAAGCACUUUCAGUAGGGAGGAAAGGCUCAGAGCUAAUAUCUCUGAGAGUUGACGUUACCUACAGAAGAAGCACCGGCUAACUCUGUG